GGGAUUGACUUAGGAGAAGCCCCAUCUGUACCAAUAAGCGCUGCCAGAUCUCCGUCCUCAGCUGCCUCUUCCUGAACUACCACAUUGCUGAAAUCCAUGCCGGGAGGAAUAACCACCAUCCUCGGCAUAAAUCGUCCAUGACAGUUGACACCUCGCCUCGCACGGGCUCUUAACACCCUCUCGAGCUUGACAUCAAAGCCGUCGUACAAUCCCCACUGCUCCUCAAUCUCUUGCUUUGUGCUUGUGAUUACUAGCUCAGCCGCAUCCAAGGACAGCUCUUCAGCUUCUAUACGUCGCAUUAUUUUAUAU
This 309-nucleotide unclassified non-coding RNA is filed under the name Hevea brasiliensis (rubber tree). Lineage: Eukaryota; Viridiplantae; Streptophyta; Magnoliopsida; Malpighiales; Euphorbiaceae. The record is from RNAcentral.